UCCCCGUUACCGGGGCAGUCUGACUAGAAAAAUCCAACUAAUCAUAAGGGUUGCGCUCGUUGAAGGACUUAACCUAACAUCUCACGACACGAGCUGACGACGGCCAUGCAACACCUGUCACCGAGUUCCCCUCGCAAUACACGAGCUAUCUGCAUAUGAUUCCAUAUACACUCAUGUACUCUGAGGGGCACUCAAACCUUUCGGUUUGAUUCUCGGGAUGUCAAGUCUGGGUAAGGUUCUUCGCUUAACAUCGAAUUAAACAACACGCUCCACCGCUUGUGCGGGUCCCCGUCUAUUCCUUUGAGUUUUAAUCUUGCGACCGUACUCCCCAGGCGGGAUGCUUAACGCGUUAGCUUCGCUACUGAAGCGGGUCGAUACGCCCAACAGCUAGCAUCCAUAG
Molecule: unclassified non-coding RNA, 400 nt
Filed under: uncultured bacterium
Lineage: Bacteria
Description: contains 16S-23S intergenic spacer region
Source: RNAcentral